RNAcentral lists this ribosomal RNA (502 nucleotides) under uncultured bacterium. Its description in RNAcentral is "bacterial SSU rRNA". It matches the Rfam family "Bacterial small subunit ribosomal RNA", at positions 30 to 523 of the family's 1533-position model. The record is from RNAcentral.
AUUGAACGCUGGCGGCGUGCCUAACACAUGCAAGUCGAGCGGUAACAGGUGUAGCAAUACAUGCUGACGAGCGGCGAACGGGUGAGUAAUGCUUCGGAAUCUACCCAAUGGUGGGGAAUAACCAGCCGAAAGGUUGGCUAAUACCGCAUACGUCCUACGGGAGAAAGCAGGGGAUCGUAAGACCUUGCGCCAAUGGAUGAGCCGAAGUCGGAUUAGCUAGUUGGAGGGUAACGGCCUACCAAGGCGACGAUCCGUAGCUGGUCUGAGAGGACGACCAGCCACACUGGGACUGAGACACGGCCCAGACUCCUACGGGAGGCAGCAGUGGGGAAUAUUGGACAAUGGGGGAAACCCUGAUCCAGCGACGCCGCGUGUGUGAAGAAGGCCUGCGGGGUUGUAAAAGCACUUUUAGUGGGGAUAGAAAAGUUCAGGGCUAAUACCCCUGGAUCUUGACCUAACCACAGAAAAGCACCGGCUAACUCUGUGCCAGCCGCCGCAGUAA